GCCUCCAUAGCUCAGUGGCAGAGCACUGGUCUUGAAAACCAGGAGUCGUGAGAUCGAUCCGCACUGGGUGCU
RNAcentral lists this transfer RNA (72 nucleotides) under Dreissena polymorpha. It matches the Rfam family "tRNA". From Rfam's summary of the family: Transfer RNA (tRNA) molecules are approximately 80 nucleotides in length. Their secondary structure includes four short double-helical elements and three loops (D, anti-codon, and T loops). Further hydrogen bonds mediate the characteristic L-shaped molecular structure. tRNAs have two regions of fundamental functional importance: the anti-codon, which is responsible for specific mRNA codon recognition, and the 3' end, to which the tRNAs corresponding amino acid is attached (by aminoacyl-tRNA synthetases). tRNAs cope with the degeneracy of the genetic code in two manners: having more than one tRNA (with a specific anti-codon) for a particular amino acid; and 'wobble' base-pairing, i.e. permitting non-standard base-pairing at the 3rd anti-codon position. Lineage: Eukaryota; Metazoa; Mollusca; Bivalvia; Myida; Dreissenidae. The record is from Rfam by way of RNAcentral.